UUGAUUCGUUGCUUGUAGCUCAGACAACACCGUUAAAACGGGAGUUUUGAUGUAUCCUCCGGCGGGCGAACCCGCCGAGGCAACAUGAGUCAAUCGUCAAAGGUUUAGAAGUUCGCGGUUUGACCCGCGUUUACUUUCUGUAAUGAUCCUUCCGCAGGUUCACCUACGGAAA
This 172-nucleotide unclassified non-coding RNA is filed under the name uncultured fungus. RNAcentral's name for it is "sequence contains ITS1". The record is from RNAcentral. Lineage: Eukaryota; Fungi.